CAGCAGUAGCCACGGGAAUACGGAGGGUGCGAGCGUUAAUCGGAAUUACUGGGCGUAGAGCGUACGCAGGCGGUUUGUUAAGUCAGAUGUGAAAUCCCCGAGCUUAACUCGGGAACUGCAUUUGAAACUGGCAGGCUAGAGUCUCGUAGAGGGGGGUAGAAUUCCAGGUGUAGCGGUGAAAUGCGUAGAGAUCUGGAGGAAUACCGGUGGCGAAGGCGGCCCCCUGGACAAAGACUGACGCUCAGGUGCGAAAGCGUGGGGAGCAAACAGGAUUAGAUACCCCUGUAGUCCCUGUCUCUUAUAC
Molecule: ribosomal RNA, 304 nt
Filed under: uncultured bacterium
Lineage: Bacteria
Description: partial 16S ribosomal RNA
Rfam family: Bacterial small subunit ribosomal RNA
Source: RNAcentral